GCGAGCCCGCUCCUCGCGUUCAUUUCAUUCCUCGUCUCAUUCCGAACAUUCUUAGCAUCGCUCGCGCCGCACAAGCCCAUUCGCGAGCCCGGCCCGCCCCGCCACCGGCCUGGGCAGUAACUAAUCACUUGAAGGGAUUCAAUAAUCCUGCAGCCAGCAGCUAGAGCCUAGAUAUAAAUAGAGAAACUGCAGAUUAAAAAUACACACGGGGCUAUAAAUAGCAACCAAGCCCAGGGGGAGCUGGAAGAAGUUUGCAAUUGAAUUGCAAAGAGCUGCUGGUGGUUGCAAAGGUGGGGAGUGGAGUGGAGUGGAGAGCUGGUGCUGCUGCUGCUGGUUAAUUGCACAUUCAAGUGGAAAAUUUUCGGGAGUCAGCAGAAAUAUUGUAUCCAAAAAAGACAAAGUCGCAGUUACAACAAAACCGAAGAGCUUGUCCCUGGAAAACUUCCUUUCGGUUUAUUUUCUUUAAGACUC
This is a non-coding RNA of Pelodiscus sinensis (Chinese soft-shelled turtle), 471 nucleotides long. The record is from RefSeq and is a predicted model, not a curated record. Lineage: Eukaryota; Metazoa; Chordata; Testudines; Trionychidae.